GUGCCAGCAGCCGCGGUAAUACAGAGGGUGCAAGCGUUAAUCGGAAUUACUGGGCGUAAAGCGUGUGUAGGUUGUUGGAUAAGUUAGAUGUGAAAUCCCUGGGCUUAACCUGGGAACUGCGUUUAGGACUGUUUAACUAGAGUACUGUAGAGGAUAGUGGAAUUUCCAGUGUAGCGGUGAAAUGCGUAGAUAUUGGAAGGAACACCAGUGGCGAAGGCGACUAUCUGGAUGGAUACUGACACUGAGACACGAAAGCGUGGGGAGCAAACAGGAUUAGAUACCCUGGUAGUCCAUGCUGUAAACUAUGGGUACUAGGUGUAGGGGGUGUCGACUCCCCCUGUGCCGACGCUAACGCAUUAAGUAUCCCACCUGGGAAGUACGAUCGCAAGAUUGAAACUCAAAGGAAUUGACGG
Molecule: ribosomal RNA, 413 nt
Filed under: uncultured bacterium
Lineage: Bacteria
Description: bacterial SSU rRNA
Rfam family: Bacterial small subunit ribosomal RNA
Source: RNAcentral